GAAGUUUGACAGACAAUCGCCGGCAGCGAUCGCGCUGCGGGAGGAAAGUCCGGGCUCCACAGGGCAGGAUGCUGGAUAACGUCCAGUCGGCGCGAGCCGAAGGAUAGUGCCACAGAAACGGACCGCCGAUGGGCCGCCAAGUGCGGCCACAGGCAAGGGUGGAACCGUGGUGUAAGAGACCACGAGCGGUGCUGGUGACAGUACGGCUGGUAAACCCCAUCUGGAGCAAGACCGAGAGGACGCGGCGGCUACGGCCGCAGCUCUGGCACCGGAGCGCGUCCGGGUUGGUCGCUGGAACCGUUCAGCAAUGGGCGGUCUAGACAGAUGAUUGUCGCUUCAUCCGUGGGAGGGUCGUUCCCGCUUGGACCACGCGAAGUACAGAACCCGGCUUACGGCAAACUUCCCGC
Molecule: RNase P RNA, 407 nt
Filed under: Paenibacillus sabuli
Lineage: Bacteria; Bacillati; Bacillota; Bacilli; Caryophanales; Paenibacillaceae
Description: Bacterial RNase P class A
Rfam family: Bacterial RNase P class A
About the family: Ribonuclease P (RNase P) is a ubiquitous endoribonuclease, found in archaea, bacteria and eukarya as well as chloroplasts and mitochondria. Its best characterised activity is the generation of mature 5'-ends of tRNAs by cleaving the 5'-leader elements of precursor-tRNAs. Cellular RNase Ps are ribonucleoproteins.
Source: Rfam by way of RNAcentral